UGCGUAGGCGGGGCAAUUAGUCAGUGGUGAAAUCCUGCGGCUUAACCGUAGAACUGCCAUUGAUACUGUUGCCCUUGAGUAUAGUUGAAGUGGGCGGAAUGUGUAAUGUAGCGGUGAAAUGCAUAGAGAUUACACAGAACACCAAUUACGAAGGCAGCUCACUAAGCUAAAACUGACGCUGAGGCACGAAAGCGUGGGGAGCGAACAGGAUUAGAUACCCUGGUAGUCC
This 229-nucleotide ribosomal RNA is filed under the name uncultured bacterium. RNAcentral's name for it is "partial 16S ribosomal RNA". It matches the Rfam family "Bacterial small subunit ribosomal RNA", at positions 568 to 796 of the family's 1533-position model. The record is from RNAcentral.